RNAcentral lists this ribosomal RNA (433 nucleotides) under uncultured bacterium. RNAcentral describes it as "partial 16S ribosomal RNA". It matches the Rfam family "Bacterial small subunit ribosomal RNA", at positions 29 to 507 of the family's 1533-position model. The record is from RNAcentral.
AGCGAACGCUGGCGGCAGGCCUAACACAUGCAAGUCGAACGGAUCCUUCGGGAUUAGUGGCGGACGGGUGAGUAACACGUGGGAACGUGCCCUUUGGUUCGGAACAACUCAGGGAAACUUGAGCUAAUACCGGAUGUGCCCUUCGGGGGAAAGAUUUAUCGCCAUUGGAGCGGCCCGCGUCUGAUUAGCUAGUUGGUGGGGUAACGGCCCACCAAGGCGACGAUCAGUAGCUGGUCUGAGAGGAUGAUCAGCCACACUGGGACUGAGACACGGCCCAGACUCCUACGGGAGGCAGCAGUGGGGAAUCUUGCGCAAUGGGCGAAAGCCUGACGCAGCCAUGCCGCGUGAAUGAUGAAGGUCUUAGGAUUGUAAAAUUCUUUCAGCGGGGACGAUAAUGACGGUACCCGCAGAAGAAGCUCCGGCUAACUUCGUG